AGCAAUUUGUAUUUCAAGUUAUGAUUUAUUAGAUUUUGACUAAAUUAAGUGAAGGAAUAUUAAUCAUGAGAUAUUAUCGUGCAAUGUAAUUAUUUUGGAAGUUUAACUUGAUAUCAGGCACUGUGGAUAUUGCUUCUAGUUGAAGUUAAUUAUUUUGGUGGCAAAUUAAGAUUCAUCUAUAAAAAGAUGUUUAAAGCUUGGACUAGAAAAUAUUUAUU
RNAcentral lists this long non-coding RNA (218 nucleotides) under Phoenix dactylifera (date palm). Its description in RNAcentral is "long non-coding RNA (PDAC_LNC008375)". Lineage: Eukaryota; Viridiplantae; Streptophyta; Magnoliopsida; Arecales; Arecaceae. The record is from RNAcentral.